GACAGAGGUGCCAAGCGUUAGGCGGAAUCACUGGGCUUAAAGCGUGUGUAGGCGGAUCGUUAAGUACCUUGUGAAAUCCCACGGCUCAACCGUGGAACUGCUGGGUAUACUGGCGAUCUUGAGCCACCUAGGGGCGAGCGGAACAAACGGUGGAGCGGUGAAAUGCGUAGAGAUCAGGAGGAACACCCAUGGCGAAGGCAGCUCUCUGGCUUCACCCUGACGCUGAGGCGCGAAAGCGUGGGGAGCGAACAGG
RNAcentral lists this ribosomal RNA (253 nucleotides) under uncultured bacterium. RNAcentral's name for it is "partial 16S ribosomal RNA". It matches the Rfam family "Bacterial small subunit ribosomal RNA", at positions 524 to 776 of the family's 1533-position model. The record is from RNAcentral.